GAUGAACGCUGGCGGCGUGCCUAAUACAUGCAAGUCGAGCGAACAGACGAGGAGCUUGCUCCUCUGACGUUAGCGGCGGACGGGUGAGUAACACGUGGAUAACCUACCUAUAAGACUGGGAUAACUUCGGGAAACCGGAGCUAAUACCGGAUAAUAUAUUGAACCGCAUGGUUCAAUAGUGAAAGACGGUUUUGCUGUCACUUAUAGAUGGAUCCGCGCCGCAUUAGCUAGUUGGUAAGGUAACGGCUUACCAAGGCAACGAUGCGUAGCCGACCUGAGAGGGUGAUCGGCCACACUGGAACUGAGACACGGUCCAGACUCCUACGGGAGGCAGCAGUAGGGAAUCUUCCGCAAAGGGCGAAAGCUUGACGGAGCAACGCCGCGUGAGUGAUGAAGGUCUUCGGAUCGUAAAACUCUGUUAUUAGGGAAGAACAAAUGUGUAAGCAACUAUGCACGUCUUGACGGUACCUAAUCAGAAAGCCACGGCUAACUACGUG
RNAcentral lists this ribosomal RNA (497 nucleotides) under uncultured bacterium. RNAcentral describes it as "partial 16S ribosomal RNA". It matches the Rfam family "Bacterial small subunit ribosomal RNA", at positions 28 to 507 of the family's 1533-position model. The record is from RNAcentral.